This 1270-nucleotide long non-coding RNA is filed under the name Medicago truncatula (barrel medic). Its description in RNAcentral is "long non-coding RNA (MTRU_LNC002186)". Lineage: Eukaryota; Viridiplantae; Streptophyta; Magnoliopsida; Fabales; Fabaceae. The record is from RNAcentral.
CUAAAGCACCUUUUGCUGUUAUUAACCACAAGUAUUUCAAAUUUCACUUACUAGCAUGUUUAAAUUGUCAAUCUAAGAAGAAAUGUGCACCAGUUUGUUGCAUGACCUCUGGAGCAAAGGGGCACCGUUUCAUCCAAAUAACCCCGUAGUAACUGUUGAUUGUUCAUACUUUCUACCUUUUGCUUAUGUAUCCUUGUUGGUAAACGUAGCAUGCUGACCUAUGACAUGAAUCCACUUCAAACAUUGAAUAUCUGAUCCAAGCUAAGUUGUGUCACAAAUACAUCUUUUCUGAUUUUAAGUUGUUGAUUUGAAGAUAUUAAGGACAUGAACUUUAUCAUUCUGAUUCGUAUCUGAUAUUAUUUAUUUUGUAUCCGGUGUCCUACCUGACCUUUGCACUGUUACAGUUCCUUAACAGAAGCUUUUUGCAUAGCCAUAUUAGAGGCUGCUAGUUGUGGAUUGUUAACAGUCAGCACGCGUGUCGGAGGUGUUCCUGAGGUAGGCACCACAAGUAUUUUUUCUAUUCUUAUUUGAUAUAUAAAUUCCUUUUAUGUAGUUUAUCUUUGAGAAAUUUUCUUAUACACUUCAGUUUCUUGUCAAUUCCAAUAUUUUGGACUACUAUCAUGUGGGGUUUGAUAUAGAUUCACUUCCUUACUAUAGGUUGUACCAGAUGAUAUGAUUGUUUUGGCAGAACCUGAUCCAAGUGAUAUGGUGCGCGCAAUCCAGAAGGCGAUAACUAUGCUGCCUAAAAUUGAUCCUCAAGUCAUGCACAAUCGAGUGAGUUUAUAGUUUAAUUGACCCUUUUCUUUUGCUUUCAUCAGGUAAACUAGUUACUUAGUCAGUCUGUUUAUUUUCUGUAGAUGAGGGAACUCUAUAGCUGGCAUGAUGUUGCCAAAAGAACCGAAAUUGUAUAUGAUCGUGCUUUGAAGUGUUCUGAUCAAAAUCUACUUGAACGACUCUCACGGUACACACUUUCAUAGGUUCAAUAUAAUUCUAAUAUGAACAUCUAGUUGUAAAAGAAAAUCCACUGGUCAUUCUGUUUCAUUUAUGUGAUUUUUGUAUUCUAAUUACCUGAGCAUAAAAUUAUUUAAUCUGCUUGUAACUUAAGAUGGUUGGUAGUAAAACAAGGUAUUUUUUUGGGAUCUUUAUUUGACAACACUACAAACUUUAGCAAUCCUUUUUCUGGUACAAGAAGUUCAGAUGUAAAACUAAUACCUAAUGAAUUAAGGAACUUACAAAUUUAUCAUUAGCUACUUCUAAGAAUGCGAAUUGU